GGGGAAUAAGGUUCAAGGCCUCUUCAGAUAUUGCACCCCUCGGUAUGCGGAGUGAGGUAAGCACCUAGCAGUAUUUAAGUGUUUUGUAGAGUUGAGGUGUAUGUUUUUUGUUCUGUCUAACUUAUCGCAAUAGCGCUAAACCCACCUGCUUUAAGGCACGUAGCUUGUAUUGCUAGGUAAAAACGUUAAGCUUGUUAUAUAUGAACUUGUGGAAAUUAUAAGCAUGUAUUUUUUGUAUUUUCUGUAUCUUAUAGUUUUCACGGUGCUCGUGAGAGUGUUCAGCAAGCUGAAUAAAAUAAAGCACCCGUUUAGAGACUCUGCGUUGCUUCAUGAAGCCAAGGGCUGCUACAUAUUUCAUGUUAAAACAAGAAAACAUGACAUGAAAGGUGGAUGUUGAACUGACUGAAGGUACCAAACAUCCAACGCACACAACAAAGAUCAAAGUCGAGGACCAGCACUAACUAAUUACCAAGAACACUAAACUCUCUGAAUCUGUAAAUGCUAAGCUCCAUAGAGAUCAAGGGGGAAAUGCUUGGUUCUUCAUUUCUAUAAUUAUUUAUAUUUAUUUUGUGUUAAAGUAGAAGAGGAGAUGUUUCAGGCGAUGGACCCAGAUGACCAUCUGGACACAGAGAUUGAAUAUCUGGGUAAGAAACAAAUAAGAAACAAAUACAAUAACAAGUUACAAUCACAGAGAUAUCACUUUAAAAAUAUUCAUUUAUAAUGAAAUACUGCAAGAUAUUUGUUCAUUUGUCUAAAAUAAAGCUGUUUACAUGGUUGUUGAUUUGUACCAUGGUGAUAUUUAAUUUUGUUAAAGCUGAAGACGAAACGACAGAGGCAACACUCACGGAAGUCGAAGCUAUUAAAGAACUAAUGCUCCUUUUCAUUGAGAAGAUCGAGGCCGAAUCGCUGGGAUGUGACGUGAUGAGCUCUGCAGAUACUGAGGCUGAAGCCUCAACACACAACAUGCAGACCCAUCUGGAUGAAACUGACCCAUCUAAUGACCAACUGCUGGAUGUGGAAAAGAACUCAAAUGGCAAAGCAGUUUGGAACACCAUUAAAGGUCUGAUGGUAGAUCUGCUUUAUGAUGUCCAGAGAACAGUUGACCAGAGUCUCGCAGGAAAUGAGUCGCACAAGGACGCUGACAUAGAAGUUGAGAAUGAUGACAUAAACAAACUGACGGACACUCAGCUGGACGACACAAAGACUACUUUCAAUCAAGCCCUUGGAAAAGACGGGAAUGACAGUUGA
Long non-coding RNA from Pygocentrus nattereri (red-bellied piranha), 1248 nucleotides. Lineage: Eukaryota; Metazoa; Chordata; Actinopteri; Characiformes; Serrasalmidae. The record is from Ensembl.